Molecule: transfer RNA, 477 nt
Filed under: uncultured Alphaproteobacteria bacterium
Lineage: Bacteria; Pseudomonadati; Pseudomonadota; Alphaproteobacteria
Description: partial 16S-23S ribosomal RNA intergenic spacer
Rfam family: tRNA (bases 129-202)
Source: RNAcentral
CCUCCUUUCUAAGGAAGAUCCGGAGGGGCUAUUGCUCUUCUUGAUCAGCCAUAGACAAUGAAGACGCGCCGCCGCCGGCGCAUCCCUUCCGCGUCCGAUUUCUGGGGCGGAUCAGUCCGCGCUUUCUCGGGCUGGUAGCUCAGUUGGUUAGAGCGCGCGCUUGAUAAGCGUGAGGUCGGAGGUUCAAAUCCUCCCCGGCCCACCAUUUUGGGAGUCAGUAUCUGGGGACAGAGGAACAGAGGAUAAGAUGUCUGUUUUAUGCUCCCUGAUGUUCUGGGACCGGGGGUGUACCUCAGCUGGGAGAGCGCCUGCUUUGCAAGCAGGAGGUCGACGGUUCGAGCCCGUUCACCUCCACCAGUUUCGCGGUANCGCCUAGGUAAUCGGACGUGCGCAAGGAAUUGCGAGUGUAGCGUUGCUUUUUUUCGGGAUGUCGUGCGAUUGCGUCGCUUGGAAAAAAUGGGCGCGCUCACUGCUCUU